GUUGAACGCUAGCGGCAUGCUUAACACAUGCAAGUCGAACGGUAACAGGUCUAGCUUGCUAGAUGCUGACGAAUGGCGGACGGGUGAGUAACGCGUAGGAAUUUACCUUGUAGUGGGGGAUAACCUGGGGAAACUCAGGCUAAUACCGCAUGAGCCCGUGAGGGGAAAGUGGGGGACUGUAAAAGGCCUCAUGCUAUGAGAUGAGCCUGCGUCGGAUUAGCUAGUUGGUAGGGUAAAGGCCUACCGAGGCGAGGAUCCGUAGCUGGUUUGAGAGAACGACCAGCCACACUGGGACUGAGACACGGCCCAGACUCCUACGGGAGGCAGCAGUGGGGAAUAUUGGACAAUGGGGGCAACCCUGAUCCAGCAAUGCCGCGUGUGUGAAGAAGGCCUGCGGGUUGUAAAGCACUUUCGGUGGGGAGGUAGGCUUCAGUAGUAAUAAUGCUGAGGAUUGACGUUACCCACAGAAGAAGCACCGGCUAACUCUGUGCCAGCACG
RNAcentral lists this ribosomal RNA (498 nucleotides) under uncultured bacterium. RNAcentral's name for it is "bacterial SSU rRNA". It matches the Rfam family "Bacterial small subunit ribosomal RNA", at positions 28 to 515 of the family's 1533-position model. The record is from RNAcentral.